RNAcentral lists this ribosomal RNA (253 nucleotides) under uncultured bacterium. RNAcentral describes it as "partial 16S ribosomal RNA". It matches the Rfam family "Bacterial small subunit ribosomal RNA", at positions 524 to 776 of the family's 1533-position model. The record is from RNAcentral.
GACUUAGGGCGCGAGCGUUGUCCGGAUUUAUUGGGCGUAAAGAGCUCGUAGGCGGCUUGUCGCGUCGACCGUGAAAACUUGGGGCUCAACCCCAAGCCUGCGGUCGAUACGGGCAGGCUCGAGUUCGGUAGGGGAGACUGGAAUUCCUGGUGUAGCGGUGAAAUGCGCAGAUAUCAGGAGGAACACCGGUGGCGAAGGCGGGUCUCUGGGCCGAUACUGACGCUGAGGAGCGAAAGCGUGGGGAGCGAACAGG